Aotus nancymaae (Ma's night monkey) is the source of this 132-nucleotide small nuclear RNA. Its record names the gene U4. It matches the Rfam family "U4 spliceosomal RNA". From Rfam's summary of the family: U4 small nuclear RNA (U4 snRNA) is a component of the major U2-dependent spliceosome. The structure of U4 snRNA from yeast and human has been reported. U4 snRNA presents a k-turn RNA motif in the 5p-SL related to recognition of Snu13 protein. The record is from Ensembl. Lineage: Eukaryota; Metazoa; Chordata; Mammalia; Primates; Aotidae.
AGCUUUGCACGGUAUCGUAGCCAAUGAGGUUUAUCCGAGGCGUGAUUAUUGCGAAUUGAAAACUUUUCCCAAUACCCUGCCAUGAUGAUUUGAAAUAUAGUCAUUGGCAAUUUUUGACAGUCUCUAUGGAGU